GACGAACGCUGGCGGCGUGCCUAAUACAUGCAAGUAGAACGCUGAAGGAGGAGCUUGCUCUUCUGGAUGAGUUGCGAACGGGUGAGUAACGCGUAGGUAACCUGCCUGGUAGCGGGGGAUAACUAUUGGAAACGAUAGCUAAUACCGCAUAACAGUAGAUGUUGCAUGACAUUUGCUUAAAAGGUGCAAUUGCACCACUACCAGGUGGACCUGCGUUGUAUUAGCUAGUUGGUGGGGUAACGGCUCACCAAGGCGACGAUACAUAGCCGACCUGAGAGGGUGAUCGGCCACACUGGGACUGAGACACGGCCCAGACUCCUACGGGAGGCAGCAGUAGGGAAUCUUCGGCAAUGGACGGAAGUCUGACCGAGCAACGCCGCGUGAGUGAAGAAGGUUUUCGGAUCGUAAAGCUCUGUUGUAAGAGAAGAACGAGUGUGAGAGUGGAAAGUUCACACUGUGACGGUAGCUUACCAGAAAGGGACGGCUAACUACGUG
Molecule: ribosomal RNA, 495 nt
Filed under: uncultured bacterium
Lineage: Bacteria
Description: partial 16S ribosomal RNA
Rfam family: Bacterial small subunit ribosomal RNA
Source: RNAcentral